UGGUUGUGCAAUGGGCGUGCAAAGGGCGUGCAGGGCGCCGAGGGCGUGCGGUGCGUGUUGUGAGUGUGUGUGUGGUGGGUGUUGUGUGUGUUGUGUGGUGUGUGCAGUGUGUGUGUGUGUGUGUGUGUCAUGUGUGGUGUGUGCAAUGAGUGUGCAAUGGGUGUGCAAAGGGCGUGUGGGGCGCCGAGGGCGUGCGGUGUGUGUUGUGAUUGGGUGUGUUGUGUGUGUGUUGUGUGUGUAUUGUGUGCAGUGGGUUGUGUGGUGUGUGUCAUGUUCUGUGUGUGGUGUGUGCAAUGGAUGGGCAAUGGGUGUGCAAUAGGCGUGCAAUGGACGUGCAAAGGGUGUGCGGGGUGCCGAGGGUGUGCGGUGUGUGUUGUGAGUGUGUGUGUGAUGGGUGUAUCACUUGUGUGUGUGGUGUGUGGUGUGUGCUGUGUGUAGUGUGUGUUGUGGGUGUGCAGUGAGUGUGCAAAGGUUAUGCAGGAUGUGCAUGGGGCGUCAAUGUGAGUGUGCAGUGUAUGUCGUGAGUGUGCACGGGGAGUUCAGUUAGCGCAGGAGCUGUGCAGUAGGUGUGCACGUGGUGCAAUGGGUGUGCAGUGAGUGUGCAAUGAGUGUGCAUAGGGUGCGUAGUGCGUACGGUUAGCGUGCAGUGGUUCUGCACGUGUUUUAAUGAGUGUGCAGUGCAGUGAGUGUGCCAUGGGCGUGCUAAGGAAGGGUACUGAGUGUAGUCAGUGUACAGUGGGUGUGUAAUGGGUGUGCAAAUGGUGUGUGUUGCAGUGUGUGCACAUGGGGCAUGCAGUGUUUGUACUCACAUGGUCUGCAUUGCAUGUGUGCAAUGUGUGGUGCAUCUGUGCAUGGGUGUGAGUGUGCAAGGCGUGAACAUUUGUGUAUAGGGGCAGGAUGAAGUGUAUAUGUGUGCAAUUAGACCCUAUUCACACGCGUGUGCAAGGCUUAGUCUGCACAGCACAGAGCAUGCAUGUGCACUGACUGCACGCUUGUGUGUGCAACACUACUUGCCGAGUGUGCAAACACACUCAUGUCUGUGUGCACAACACGUGUGUGAGCCCACAUGCAAUGAGAGUGUGCAAAUGCACACGUGUGUGCAAGUUGUGUAACAGCAACAGCAUGUAUGGUGCAUAGCAGCCUGCUCACGUCUGCUCGCAUGAUGAAUGUGCGUGCAUGUGUUUGUGCAAGGUGUGUGCAACACCAGCAGCGCUUUCAGAACACACGUGUUUGUGUGCUGACACAGUGAGUGUGCAAGGCUGCUUGGUGUGUGAGCACACAUGUAUG
This 1287-nucleotide long non-coding RNA is filed under the name Coturnix japonica (Japanese quail). RNAcentral describes it as "lncRNA (ENSCJPG00005005000.1)". The record is from RNAcentral. Lineage: Eukaryota; Metazoa; Chordata; Aves; Galliformes; Phasianidae.